UAAAUAGUAUAACGAUUAGAAGAAAGGUGUACCAUACAUCUAAUAUUAAUUAUUAUAGCAUACCUAUAGCGAAUAAGUACUGUAAAGGAAAGUUGAAAGAGAAAUAAGUGAAAUAGAACUUGAAAUUCGUUAACUAACAAGCGGACGAAUGUCGUCGUACCUUUUGUAUAAUGGGUUCGCAAGAAAAAUAUUUGGCAAACUUAAGUCAAUAAAUGCAGGUGUAGCGAAAGCAAGUAUAAAUUAUGCGUUUAGUUAAAUAUUACCCGAAACCAAGGGAUCUAAUUAUGAAUAGUUUGAAACCUUCUUAAUUGACGGGUGGAAGAACGAACCGGUGAUUGUGGCAAAAAUCUCGGAUAAUUUGUGAUUAGGGGUGAAAAGCCAAUCGUCCUUGGAAUAGCUGGUUUUCUGCGAAAACUAUAGAAGUAGUGUGCCAUAUUGUAUUCUAACAAGGUAAAGCACUGAAUAAACUUAGGGGGUUUAUCCUUACUAAGUAAAAUCAAACUAUGAAUGUGUUAGAAGAAAUUUAUGACAAACAGACAAUUCGCGAGAAGGUGGAUUGUCAAAAGGGACACAACCCAGAUCAGAAGUUAAGGUCACAAAUAAUAUCUAAGUGUAAAAGGGGCAGAAUCUGGAACCCGAAGUAGGGUCGACUUAGAUAAUGAGAAAGUAGGCUUGGAACCAGCCAUCUUAAAUAGAUUACGUAAUAGUUCACUCAAUAAGUUGGUUAGCCCCUAAAAUUUUGAUGGCUUAAGAAAAAGAAAGUCAAUAAACCCAAACUCUGAAAUUAUAAUUUGGUAGCAGAACGUUUUGUUAUAGAGUAAGCGAUAGCUAAAAUCAAAAGUGAUAAUGCGAACAUGAGUAAAAUACAGUGUGAUAAUCGCUGCUCAAUCGACCUAAGGUUUCCAAUUAAAGGAUUAACCGAAUUGGAUUAUUCAGUCCCUAAAAUUAAUCGAUGGGGGAACUCAUUUAAGCGCUGCGGGCGUCAGGAAAUAAUAUUAGAUCACAAUAAAGGAUGACUGUACUAUAAACUAACACAAGGGGGUCGAAUUGAUGGUUGAAUUUAUCUUAAGGAACUCGGCAAAUUGUCUCUGUAAGUUCGCAAGAAAGAGAGUCAAAACUUAACAACUCAUUAGGGGUUAAGUUAGAUCGCAGAAAACAGGGGGUGUUGACUGUUUACCAAAAACAUAGCUUCCAGCAAAUUUUAAUAAAAAUUAAGUAUUGGAAGUGAGGCCUGCCCAAUGAUUGUAUCCUAACUUAAAUAAUAAACUGGGAUAAAGUUAUUUGAUUAAGGACAAUUCAAUGGCCGCGGUAAAACUGACCGUGAUAAUGUAGCGCAAUCCAUAGCCAAUUAAUUGUUGGCAAGUAUGAAUGGCUUAACAAGCGCCCCGCUGUCUCAAGAUAAAAACCUGUGAAAUUGGAGCCGUAGUGAAGAUACUACGUACAAAUUGUUAGACGAGAAGACCCCAUUGAGCUUUACUGGAAAUUUAUAUAAUUCUUUUUUUUAUUAAUGUGUAGAUUAUGUGGGAACUAAACAAUAGUUUUGACUUUAAUGAAAAACCACUUUUUAAUAAUUUAAGGUUCAAAAAAAAAGUAAAAGUGUAAAGCAGACAGUUUAGUUGGGGCGACUGCCUUCUAAAUAGUAACGAAGGUGUACAAAGGUGAAUAAAAUAAUAGAUUUAGUUUAAAGCCUGACAGCGAGGAUAAUUUUCCGAGCUGACACGAAGAUUUAUUAGGGAUGAUUUUUCGUGGGUUAUAAUGACCCGUUAGUAUUAAAUGGGAAAGCUAACGAUCAACGGAUAAAAGUUACCAUGGGGAUAACAGCGUAAUAUCGUUCGAGAGUUCAUAUCGACAACGAUGUUUGCGACCUCGAUGUUGAAUUGUGGUAUCCUGGGGGUGCAGCCGCCCCCAAGGGUUGGACUGUUCGUCCAUUAAAACCGCACAUGAUUUGAGUUCAGAUCGGCGUGAGCCAGAUCGGUUUCUAUCUACAAUUUGUAAAGGAAACAUAGAUAUCUCUAUUUUCUAGUACGAAAGGACCGAAUAAUUAGUUGUCCUCUGGUGCCCAAUUUAA
Molecule: ribosomal RNA, 2068 nt
Filed under: Aplysina cauliformis (row pore rope sponge)
Lineage: Eukaryota; Metazoa; Porifera; Demospongiae; Verongiida; Aplysinidae
Description: 16S ribosomal RNA
Rfam family: Bacterial large subunit ribosomal RNA
Source: RNAcentral